AACAACUCACCUGCCGAAUGAAUUAGCCCUGAAAAUGGAUGACGCUGAAGCGAAGAGCCGACACCACGCCGUCUGAGCAAAGUGGCUUUUUCAGAUGAGUAGGAGGGCGUGGCGGUCGUAUGGAAGCGUUCGUGCGAACGAGCGUGAAACGGCCGCUAGUGCAGAUCUUGGUGGUAGUAGCAAAUAUUCAAGUGAGAUCCUUGAAGGACGAAGCGGGGAAGGGUUCCACGCGAACAUUGAUUGAGCGUGGGUGAGUCGUUCCUAAGCCGAGUGGUAAUUGCUAAUUACCGGCGAAAGGGAAGCAGGUUGACAUUCCUGCACACGGAUGUGGAGGCGGUGACGCCGUAUUGGGGUGAUGACGUCGGCAGUGGAUCUGGGCAGAGUUUUCUUUUCUGUUUAACCGUCUUUGUUCGCCGUGUGGAAUCCGCUUGUCGGGAGAAACACGCGAACUCGGGCAGAGCGCCGGGGCUUUUCCGGCGUCCAGAUCUCCAUUGACGACCCUUGAAAAAUCACUUACUGGACAUUUAUUCUUCGGAAUUUAUGUGAUAUCCACGCCGUGGCGUACCGAUAACCGCAUCAGGUCCCCAAGGUGAACAGCCUCUGUCCAAUAUGAAAAAU
This 618-nucleotide ribosomal RNA is filed under the name Gayliella sp. ARS-2011. Its description in RNAcentral is "eukaryotic LSU rRNA". It matches the Rfam family "Eukaryotic large subunit ribosomal RNA", at positions 1284 to 1900 of the family's 3401-position model. Lineage: Eukaryota; Rhodophyta; Florideophyceae; Ceramiales; Ceramiaceae. The record is from RNAcentral.